GCAGUGGUGAUUCAGUGGUAGAGUUCUCACCUUCCAUGUGGUAGACCCAAGUUUGAUUCCUGGCCAGUGCA
Loxodonta africana (African savanna elephant) is the source of this 71-nucleotide transfer RNA. It matches the Rfam family "tRNA". Rfam says of the family: Transfer RNA (tRNA) molecules are approximately 80 nucleotides in length. Their secondary structure includes four short double-helical elements and three loops (D, anti-codon, and T loops). The record is from Rfam. Lineage: Eukaryota; Metazoa; Chordata; Mammalia; Proboscidea; Elephantidae.